UUGGACUUCCAGCAGGCAUGCGUGAGCGUGUUUGAUAGGAGUGAAUGGAGACAAAUGGUUUUUAAUACUUGACGUGCUGUUGGAGUGUGAGCAAAGUAACAUUUAUGAAGGGGUUCAGGGAAACCGGCAGGCCGGACUUGAGUCCUGGAGAUGGGAAGUACAGUGCCUGCACUCUGAAGGAGGGGUGUUAAUGUUGCAGUUUAAAAACUGUAGUGUAAAGCACCCUUCUGGCAAGACAGUGAUGGAGUGAAUUAUGGUGAAAGUUUUUCUUUUUCGGGCCACCCUGCCUUGGUGGGAAUCGGCCAGUGUGAUAAUAAAAAAAAAUAAAAAAAAAGUUUCUUCUGUAUAGGAAAAUGCUUUUUUUAAAUGAGUUCUUUUUUUUUAUCAUAUUUUCAUCAUUUGUCUUUGUCAUGUCAGGUUCAGAUUGGCAAAAUGUAUAAUAUGAUUCAGUUGAUUUCCUUCAAGGUGGGUCCCUUGCUGCAGCAAAGGGAUUCUUAAUUUGAGGAAUUGAACCUCUUGCCCUUGUUUAAAAAUCCAAAUGCUGUAACCCUUAACUUUGUGUCUCCAUUUGGCCUCGGUGGGGAAGAUUUCCUCCUUUUGUAAAAUCCACCUCCUAGACAGAGGGAAAAAGGACUGCUGUCAGCCAUGAUUGAAUGUAGCUUCUGUUGAUAGUGUUGCUGUAGUUGUUACUCCACUUGAUGAAGUAAGAUCAACUUGGAGUGUGUCAGGUGACCUUGCUGGGGGACAUUGGUUGGCCAUCUGGAAGAACUUCUGGAGGUUGCCAAUAGUGGCAACUAAGGAUGUAUGACUCCUGGCAUUCAUUUGGUUUGCCCACCACCAAUAUUAGUUGAAAGAAGAUCGCAUGAUUAGUGGUUUUGUAUAUUCAGGCAGGGUCUCUAAACCUAGCUCAGUCAAUUCUGGAGGUACCAUCAUGGUGUUGUUCACCAAGUAGGGUAAGAAGUGGUUGCUAGGUUUAACAACUCUGCUUGUUGCAACAAAAGCAACCUUGGUUCAAGGUGGGUAUGUGGUUUCUUUUUGUCUCUUCUAAGAAUUAAUCCUCCACUUUUUUUUCUUCAUUAGUGAGUUUUUUUUUAUUAUUAUCACACUGGCCGAUUCCCACCAAGGCAGGGUGGCCCGAAAAAGAAAAACUUUCACCAUCAUUCACUCCAUCACUGUCUUGCCAGAAGGGUGCUUUACACUACAGUUUUUAAACUGCAACAUUAACACCCCUCCUUCAGAGUGCAGGCACUGUACUUCCCAUCUCCAGGACUCAAGUCCGGCUUGCCGGUUUCCCUGAACCCCUUCAUAAAUGUUACUUUGCUCACACUCCAACAGCACGUCAAGUAUUAAAAACCAUUUGUCUCCAUUCACUCCUAUCAAACACGCUCACGCAUACCUGCUGGAAGUCCAAGCCCCUCGCACACAAAACCUCCUUUACCCCCUCCCUCCAACCUUUCCUAGGCCGACCCCUACCCCGCCUUCCUUCCACUACAGACUGAUACACUCUUGAAGUCAUUCUGUUUCGCUCCAUUCUCUCUACAUGUCUGAACCACCUCAACAACCCUUCCUCAGCCCUCUGGACAACAGUUUUGGUAAUCCCGCACCUCCUCCUAACUUCCAAACUACGAAUUCUCUGCAUUAUAUUCACACCACACAUUGCCCUCAGACAUGACAUCUCCACUGCCUCCAGCCUUCUCCUCGCUGCAACAUUCAUCACCCAUGCUUCACACCCAUAUAAGAGCGUUGGUAAAACUAUACUCUCAUACAUUCCCCUCUUUGCCUCCUGAUCCCUAGUGACCAUGACACCCUCUAUUAGCCACUGUACUGCUAUGAACUCUCCUCAGAACCUGGAAUGGUUUUUGAGCAAUUCUUUGUUGCCAGAAUCCAGUACAGGAGGGCCCGCUAAUACAGCAGAUUAGGUUCCAGGCUAAUACUGUAAAGUGAAAAUCACUGUGAAGUGAAACAGUCUUCUUUUUACUUUCGUAUGCAUAUAAAAGCCUGAUAAUGUGUUUACACAUCAUACAUUAAGCGAGCAAUAGAGCCAGGCCCUAAAAAAUGCAUAUAUAGCACACACAUUACUUACCUUAAAAUAUUUUUCUACUUGGCUUACAGUGAGUGGUGAAUAUAUUUAUUGUAGGUAGCCUGAAUAAAUGAAAAAUGGGUAUAAUUGAAAACCACCAUAUUUGCGAAACACCGUAAAGCAGGGGCUCUCCUGUACUGAUCUUCUAUCUGGUACCUCUGACUGCUGUACCUUGACUAUAGAACUGGCUUCCCCCCCUUACAUAAUAAUUCACAGAUUGUCCUCACACCAAUGGACAAGAGUGGCUCAAAACCAUCUGCCAAGAGAUAGCAACAUACCAACAAAAACAGUGAUAUUAUACACAUACUACAAUCACACACACUAACACUGACAGAAAAGUUUCAGACAUGACAAUGAACAAGAAUUCUUUUUCCUCUGAAACAUACCUGAAUGACCACAUAUGCAAGAACUCUCAAUACAUUUUUGGCCAAGACAUAUACUUCCAUCCUCUAAAAAGUCAGAUGCACAUUGAGUUAAUGAUGCUGACCUGACUAAAGAUCCUUUCAGGUUUAGCACUUAGUUUGAAUUUACUAUUAUUAUUAUUGACCAAGCUAAUAAAUUAAUUUGGCUUGACACAGUAUCCAGGACCGCAUUAUCACCCCACCUUCAGUGCUGUAUAAUGGUUUGCAUCCUUCAUGUGAUUUUACAGCAAAAUAGACUGUGCUUCUGACAUACAAAAACAUUAAGAAUUGCAAUGCUUCCCAAUCACUAUGAGCAAAAUUUACGUCUGCUCCACUUGCAUGUUAUACUUGACCAGUAUUUAUUUAUUUAUUUAUUUAUUUAGAAAUUUUAGCAUACAAACAGAGAUACAAAAAAUACAGGUAAGAGCAGCAUGCCAAAGCCACUUAUAUGCAUAGCAUUACGGGCUGGCUUAAAAUUAACUUAAGAUUAACUAAGCAAUGAUGAAAUCAGUGAUAAGACAUUAUUGUAAACAGAUAACUAUAAAAUACAAAUGAGUAUUACAAAGACAGGUCCUAUGGUUGCAUGCAUUGCUGUUCAUUCAGUAGAAUGGAGUAUUCUGUUAGGUAGUGUAUUUAAAAAAAAUAACAAAGUUAGGUUUAACAUUUGUGUGAUAUAAUUGUGAGUAACAUUUAGGAUAUACAAUUUAUAUGGUUCAGUUAUUCAGUAUUUAUUUGGUUUUGAGUGAGUAAGUGAACUUUGAGAAGAGACUUGAAUUUAUAAACAGGUAGUGUUUCUUUUAUAUUUACAGGUAAUGAAUUCCAGAUUUUAGGGCCUUUUAUGUGCAUUGAGUUUUUGCAUAGUGUGAGAUGGACACGAGGAACAUCAAAGAGUGAUCUGUGCCUUGUAUUAUGGUCAUGUGUUCUGUUGAGGUUGGCAAGGAGAUGUUUGAGGGGAGGGUUAAUAUCAGAGUUGAGUAUAGUUAAAAUGAUGUUCGAUAGCCAAGAACUUUCCCCGUCAGUAUAUGCAGCAGGUCAACACCUGCUAGUGAAGGAACAAACCCACACAACAGCAGUGUUGCAACUGCUGGCACUGUGGCACCAAGCAAAAUACUGCAGAAUAAAUCAAAAUGCCCUACAAUCCCCUGGAAAAUUGGCAAAAAUUUAAUAUUUCCUCUACUUUGAGCUUGAUUUCAACUUACUUCCAGUCUUGAAACCAACCAAAAUCAACUCUAUUUCAGUAUACAGUAGACCCUCAUAUUACACGGUAGUUACGUUCCUGAAAAUGCCGUGUUACGUAAAAUCCGUGUUAUAUGAACUGAAGAACUUGUGGGGGAAAAAUAGGUUUACGUUCCUGCCCCCCCCCCCCCCCCCCCGAAAAGCCAAACACCUUUUUUUAUUUAGACAUCCAGAUCUUACAUAAAUAAAAAUGAUAAUGUUGUUUUUGUUGCUUAAGGCUACAUACACAACAGAAAUAAUAAUAUUUACCUUAAAUUGUGGUUGCUGGUAUAUGUCCGCGAUUGUGAAGAGAGUGGAGAUGCAUGGUGUGGCCCUACUGGGCUGAGGUGAAUGGUUGUUGCUUGUCAGCAGAAGUGGAUUGUUGAGGUUCUGGUACUAAAGUCGAUGGUUGUAUUGGAGUGUGCAUAAAUUCUAUAAUGGAUCUCUAGCUUCUUUUACCCUGCAGUACAUUAUACAUUAUUUUAGAAGCUUGUUACUGCCAGGUUGGAGUCAGAGUCCAUUGAUGCAACUAGUUUUUCAUAACUUUUCUUGUGUAAUUACACUUGAAUGACUUAAUAACUCCCAGAUCCAGUGGUUGUAUUAAAGAUGUUGUAUUUGGAGGUAAAAAAUAAAACUUUUACAUGUGGGGUCACAUCCAGCAAAGCUUCUGGAUGAGUAUGGGAAUUAUCAAGAAUGAAGAGAGCCAUGAAUGCAAGGUUCUUGCUGUGCAGGUAAAACUUGACUUCAGGAAUAAAGUGAUGCUUAAACCAGUCAAUAAAUACAGUGGACCCCCGCAUAACGAUUACCUCCAAAUGCGACCAAUUAUGUACGUGUAUUUAUGUAAGUGCGUUUGUACGUGUAUGUUUGGGGGUCUGGAAUGGACUAAUCUACUUCACAAUAUUCCUUAUGGGAACAAAUUCGCUCAGUACUGGCACCUGAACAUACUUCUGGAGUGAAAAAAUAUCGUUAACCGGGGGUCCACUGUAUUUCCUCUGUCAUCCAUGCUGACUGGUUUGACCUCCAAAUUACUAGUAAGGUGUUUUUUGUACACCUUUCAAAGCACAAGGAUUCUUAGAGUGAUAAAUAACCAUGUGCUUACACUUGAAAUCACCUGAUGCAUUACCGUAAAGGAGCAAGGUGAAGUGAUCCUUUGCUGCCUUGAAGCCCGGUGCAGCUUCACGGAAACAGUGGUCCCACCCACAGCUAGGGAAAUGUCUCACAGGCAACACUUCAGAUUUUUUCCCCUCCCACAAACCAAACCAUGUUAAGUUAAUUUUAUGAAGUGUUGUAUAAAAUUAUGCCGCAAUUUUUCAGUAUUAUAAUAACCAGAAUGUGCCAAAUAAAUCUGUGUAAUAUGAGGGUCUACUGUAUCUUCUAUUCUAUCAAAUGAUAGCAAGAAACAGCCAGCAAAAGUUCUUAUUAUAAACCAAACACAAGGUCAGAGCUCCGAUUUCCCAUAAUGCACAUGCGAGGCAGAAUUCUUUUUAUACUGUGCACACCCACCAAACUGACCCACUCUUGUAUUAGGCCAAAAUUUACAGCUCAGCUUAUCCUUUGGAGCUGAGCUCAAAAUGUAAAUCUGUGCGAGGGACCCUGGCAUCAAUGAUGUAGACCUAUUGAUGGACAGUGAAAGGGUUAGAGGAGGAGGGUUGCUUGUAUAACCAGACAGUAACCCAAUUCUGCUUGCAGGGAAGAGCACCACACACCUUUGCCAGAGUUGCCUGGUAUCUCCAUGUCCAUUAGUGCCAGGAAUUACGUCAAUGUCUGUGGGUCUUUUGAUCUUUCUCAGCAAACAUCUUUUUACUGCAGAAUCAACAUGAUGCCAUUGCCUUCAGUAUUUUGUUUGCUUCCAAGAUCUUCAUGACCCUCAUAUAUACAGAAAAAUCACAGGCAUUAGUAAAGCUAAUUUAAUAAAUAAUAGACUCAAUUUAGUAUGGACUUUUAAUCUCUGUAUCUGAUCUUGGGUUAUGCCUCUUAAUUUACCCCCUCUCCUUUUUUCACCCCUUAUAUAUGUACAUGCUUGCAUGCGUUCAUGUGUGUGUGCGCACAUGUAUGUAUGUGUGUAUGUAUGUAUGUAAACUCAUGGUUUGAAAGAGCAUGCAGUGGACCCUCCCUUUUCGUUGGGUUCUGUUUUCAUUAGUUUCAGUUAUCGCUGACUUUUUUCGUAAAAAUAUUGGCUCAGUUUUCGUUACUUUCCUCUGUUCUCAUCAGUGGUAUGGUACCUGUCUGAGUACCGCACGCACACAAAGCCUCCCACACGUGCAUUCUGAGGCAGUGUUGCUUUGUUUCUUGGUGAGUCAACAUUAUCCUACGAGGUCAUAGGAAACAUUUCAUAAUAAUUCAUUGUUUUUUUGCAUUCGUUUAUUCUGUGUGACUGCUAAAUAAGUUACCAUGGGCCCAAAGAAAGUUGCUAGUGCCAGCCCAUUGAUAAAGAAGGUGAGAAACACGAUAGUAUUCAAGAAAAAAUUUGUAACAAAGUACCAAAAUGGAGGAGGAAGAGGGGAGAAUGUUCCUUCUUCAGUGAUUCUACGAUAUGUACGAUACUAAAAUAGCAGGAAUUGAUAAAGGCUAUAGCUCCAGCCAGCGAUAAAGUGUAGCAUUAACAGUGUAGCAAGUAAGUUAAGCGAUUAAGUGAUAGAAAAAGGAUGAAACGAAAGUAACUUAACUUCAAUGUUAUUGGAGGUAUAUAGGGCCACUGACAACUAUGGAAAGCUGCAUAGCCUGACAUAACCCCAUGUGGAAUGUACAAUAUAUAUACUGUAUAUUCAACAAACCGGCCGUAUCCCACCAAGGCAGGAUGACCCAAAAAGAAAAAUGAAAGUUUCUCUCUUUAAAUUUAGUAAUUUAUACAAGAGAAAGGGUUACUAGCCCCUUGCCCCCGGCAUUUUAGUUGCCUCUUACAACAACGCCUUUAAUCCGUUCCAGAGAGCUAGCCUUUAGCCGAAUUAACUUUCCCCCGUAAGAAAUAAUGGAAAUUUAAUUAGUCCAUUCCAGACACCCAAAAGUAUUAAACAAAAUAAUUUUUUUUUACAUGAAAUGUACAUUUCCCUACACAGAAAACAGUGAUACAUGAACAAUAAACAAUACUGAAAUGACACUUACCUUUAUUGUGGACUUGUUGAUGAGUGAUGAGACAGGAGGAGGGGAGAGGAUGAAGGUGUACUAGUGUUUGGAAGGGGAAUCCCCUUCCAUAAAGACUUAAGGUAACAAGUCCUUUUCUGGGGUUACCUCCCUUCUUGGUUUUUUAAUGCCACUGGGAACAAUUUUAGUUACUGGACCGCUGUCGCACAAAAUAUUUGUCCAGAGAGCUCUGUUUCUUGCAUCCCUUUAAGAUUUCCCUAAAAUGAGACACGAGUGUCAUUGUACGUGUUGCCAAUACGGCUUGCAACAGCUGUGUAAGGAUAAUAUUCUUCCAUAAAUGCUUGCAACUUUGUCCACAUUGUACACAUUUCCUUAAACUUUGAUGAAGGCAACUUCACCAGUCUCUCUUCCUCCUCCUCUGAAGCAAAUUCCUGAGCUGUGAUCUGUUGCUGUUGCACCUGAAGCUCUUGCAGCUCUGUAGUGGUUAGCUCUUCAUUGUUGUCCUCCACCAACUCUUCCACAUCCUCACCACUAACCUCCAACCCCAUGGACUUCCCCAAUGCCACAAUAGAUUCCACAGCUGGCAUAGGCUCCUCAGGGUUAGCCCCAAACCCUUCAAAAUUCCUCUUGUACACAUUCUGGCCACAAUUUUUUCCAAGCAGAUUUCAAAGUCCUGCAAGUCACUCCCUCCCAAGCCUUACCUAUAAGGUUUAUGCAGUUGAGGAUACUGAAGUGAUCUUUCUGGAACUCUCUUAGGGUCAAUUCAGUGUCUGAGAUCACUUCAAAGCACUUUUGAAACACUGUUUUGGUGUACAGUUUUUUGAAGUUUGAAAUGACCUGCUGGUCCAUGGGCUGGAGGAGAGGAGCGGUAUUAGGAGGUAAAAAUUUCACUUUGAUGAAGCUCAGCUCCCUCGCAAUUUGCUCUUGCAAGUCGUGAGGAUGAGCAGGAGCAUUGUCCAUUACCAGGGGGCACUUGAGUGACAAUUUAUUUUCCAGGAGGUACUUUUUCACAAUGGGGCCAAACACGUCGUAGAACCAGUCACGAAAAUGUCCCUAGUGACCCGUGCCUUACUGUUUGCUCUCCACAUCACACACAAUUUAGUCUUGAAGACAUUGUUUUUCUUGAACACACUGGGAGUUUCAGAGUGAUACACGAGUAAAGGCUUCACUUUGCAAUCCCCACUAGCAUUACUACAAAACAUUAGAGCUAGCCUGUCUUUCAUAGGCUUGUGUCCUGGGAGUGCCUUUUCCUCCUGAGUAAUGUAGGUCCUGUUUGGCAUUUUCUUCCAAAACAGGCUUGUUUUGUCACAAUUAAAUACUUGUUGGGGUUUUAAUUUUUCAGUGUCUAUGUGCUUUUUGAAGUCCUGCACAUAUUUUUCAGCCGCUUUUUUGUCAGAACUGGCAGCCUCACCAUGCCUUAUCACACUGUGUAUGCCACUACAAUUCUUAAAUCUCUCAAACCAGCCUUUGCUGGCCAUAAAUUCAUCAACAGCAGCACUAUUUGGAGGCAUUUUCCUAAUGAGAUCUGCAUGCAACUGCCUUGCCUUUUUACACAUUAUUGACUGAGAAAUACUAUCUCCUGAAAAUUGUUUCUCGUUUAUCCACACCAAUAACAGUCUCUCCACAUCUUCGAGUAUUUGUGAUCUCUGUUUUGAAAACAUACUUGCACCUUUUGCAACAACAGCUUCCUUGAUUGCCUUUUUGUUGGUCAAGAUAGUAGUGAUGGUUGAAUGGGUUUGUCAUAUAACCUUUCCAACUCCGAGAUAUGCACUCCACUCUCAUGCUUUGCGAUUAUCUCUUUCUUUAAUUCGAUAGUACACCUCACCCUUUUUACCACAGGGUUGGACUAGGAGCUUUCUUGGGGCACAUGGUGGCUUAUUUAGAGUUACAAGCACUAAAAACACUGGAAUAAUAGAAAAUAUAUUGCAGGUACGCAUGGACAUCCUCACUGGCUUUGUAAACAAUGCCACACUGGCUGGUACACGGAGUGAGUGGCCGGGCGCCCGCUCAGGCCACGUGGACACGUUCAGGACAAAAGCCCUUAGCCGAGUUAUUUGGUAUUGGCUGAGCCAAUAUUUUUACGCCAAAGCAAGCCGUUAGCCAAAGCCGCCAUUACCCAAGGGUCCACUGUACAUACAUACACUGUGUACUCACCUAAUUGUACUCGCCUAAUUGUGGUUGCAGGGGUCGAUACUCAGCUCCUGGCCCCGCCUCUUCACUGACUGCUACUAGGUCCUCUCUCCCCCUGCUCCAUGAGCUUUAUCAUACCUCGUCUUAAAACUUGUAUAGUUGCUGCCUCCACUACAUCGCUUGCCAGACUAUUCCACUUCCUAAUUACUCUAUGACUGAAGAAAUACUUCCUAACAUCCCUUUGACUCAUCUGAGCCUUCAGCUUCCAAUUGUGACCCCUUGUUUCUGAGUCCCAUCUCUGGAACAUCCUGUCUCUGUCCACCUUGUCUAUUCCACGCAGUAUUUUGUAUGCUGUUAUCAUGUCUCCCCUGACCCUCCUGUCCUCCAGUGUUGUCAGUUUUGUCCAGUGUGCACAUGUGCGAGCGCAGUAAUUGAUUUUUUCUUAUUUCUUUUGAGUAUUUUCAACUUCUGAUAUUACCAAAAUGAAAUAUUAUAUACUUGUUUCAAGGUGUGAUACUCCUCAAAACACAGAAAUAUCAUAUAUAUUUUUUAAUUCCUUUGGUUACCCUGGGUUAAUUAUACCAAGUAUAGUUAUUUGUCUGAUUUCCACUAUUAGUAUGAAAUUACUUACAGUGGACCCUUGGUUAUCGGCCGUAAUCCAUUCCAGACGGUUGGCCUAAAACCGAAAUGGCCAAAAACCAAAAUAUUUCCCAUGCACUUUAAAGGAGGGGUUUGGGAUAUUGGCAUUUUGGAGGAAUAUGUUGUGUAUCUUUAUACAUAUAUGCUUUUAAACUGUUGUAUUCUGAGCACCUGUGCAAAAACAGUGAUUAUGUGUGAGUGAGGUAAAAGUGUAUUUUCUUUUCGGGGAUUUUCUUUCUUUUUGGGUCACUCUGCCUCGGUAGGAGACGGCUGACUUGAUAAAAAAAAAAAUGAAUCCGUUCCAAACACCCAAAAAUAUUAACAAAACAUGCAUUUUUUUAACCCUUUCAGGAUUGGUGCCAUACUAGUACGGCUUGCACGUUAGGGUUGGUGCCGUACUAGUACGCGUAAAUUCUAGCGCCUUCAAAUCUAGCGAGAGAAAGCUGGUAGGCCUACAUAUGAAAGAAUGGGUCUGUGUGGUCAGUGUGCACAGUAUAAAAAAAAUCCUGCAGCACACAGUGCAUAAUGAGAAAAAAAAACUCCGACUGUGUUUUUGGUUUAAAACAGCGAUUUUGCAGUGUAUUUUCGUAUGGUAUUUAUGGUUGUAUUCUAGUUUUCUUGGUCUUAUUUUAUAGAAUAGAAGACAUAUUACAGAAAUUGAGAUAAUUUUGACUGGUUUCACAAUGAAAAGUACCUUGAUAUUGAGCUCAGAGUAGCAGAAAUGUUCAAGUUUUGCCAAAGUUCUAAAGUAAACAAAUCAUGCCACGUGUCCAAUACACGUCAACUGGUGAGUCUAAUAUUCUUUCACAAGUGUGCUGAUAUUAUUUAUACCAUUUCUACACUAAUGCAGUAGUCUGCAUAACAGUAAAUGUUCAAUUUUUUUUUUUGAGAAUAAAAAUUCAAAGUGGAAAGCAAAAGAGAUGUAAGAGGGGCCUGGGGACGUGACUGAUGAACAGAGAAAAUGUUAUUUUAGUGCCAGGAAUGUCUGUCUUGUUUAUUCUGGACCCUAUUUGGAAAUUGGCAUCUUUUGAAAUUUGUGUGAAAUUGGCAAAUUUGCCAAUUUCUGCCCACUUUAUUGGAUAGUUGAAAUUGGUAAAUGGGUGGUUUCUUGUACACAUUUGAUAUAAAAAGUGGAGUUCUAGCGAAAUAGUUAUGAUUUUUGGCAACUGGUACAUUGGAAUUGUCCGAAAAUAGGGCUCAAAGUGGGCGAAAUUGCCGAUGUGUAAACAUCGUCGAGACUGCUAACUUUGCGAGAGCAUAAUUCCAUGAGUUUUCCCUCAAAUUUCAUACUUUUGGUGUCAUUAUGAUAAAAAAAAAAAGAUUCUCUAUCAUUUCAUAAGUUUUUUUUUUUUUUUUUUUUUUUUUAAUUUCGACCCUGAGAGCAAGUUUAGGAGAGGGCCUCUCAACCCUGAAAGGGUUAAAGAUUAACUAUAGUUUUACAUACACAAAACAAUGAGAACUAAAUAAAAUGACUAAUGAAAUGGAUAUAUGAAUAUUUAAAUCACUUUUACCUUUAUUAAAUAGUCUUCCUGGCGUAUGCAAAACAGCGAGGAGCGGAGAGGGAGACGAGUUUGUCUGGAGAAGGACAAAAUGCUUAAAUAUGAUGCUAUUAUCAACUUAUUAUACAGUUUAUAUAUUUAUCACAAUUCAUCUAAUAUGACAUAAUAACAUAGAAACAUGAUAUAUACUCUAGAAUGAGUAUGUCAAUGCAUAGUGGUGAUUGUGGUGGUCUUGUUGGGUUAGUAAGGGCCACUGACAGCAUAAGCCAUACAUAUAGUGGUGGUAGUGGCAGCAGCAGAGGCCACCACCACUAUUCACACUGAAACAAUGUAUGUAAUUUAUAAAUAAGAAAUAUUUACACUUUAAAUUAUAAAUAAGAAAUAAUUUACACUUUAUAAAUAAGAUAUAUUUACACUUGGAGGAGAUGCUGGCAUUGGUUUAGGGUGGUGGAAGAUACGCAGGGCGGUGUGUAUUAUCAGUGGCCCUAUGUGCCUCCAACUACAUUGGAGGAGUCAGUUUUGUGUCCUCCUUUUUCUAUCACUUAAUUGCUUGACUUACUUGCUACACUGUUAAUGCUAUACUUCAUCGCUGGCUGGCACUAUAGCCUUUAUUGAUUCCUGCUGCUUUAGUAUCAUAUGUAUCGUAGAAUCACUGAAGAAGGCACAUUCUCCCCUCUCUCUCCCUCCUUCGCUGUCUUACUUUGCUAGGAGUUCUUUCUUGAAUUCUAUAGUGUUUCUCACUUUCUUUACCAAAGGGCUGGCACUAGAAACUUUCUUUGGGCCCAUGGUGGCUUAUUUUGCAGUUGCACUCGAUCAGUAACCACAAAAAACAAUGGAUUAUAGCGAAAUGUUUGGAUGAAUGCUCAGAAUCUUCCUCACUCACCCAGAGACACAGCCAGACUGACUCAUGAAUGCGGUGGAGCAGCAGGUGGACGCAUCCAGUAUGGCCGAUCUCUGAAAUAACGGCUGGAAACCAGGAUUGAAUUUCAGCCAAAAAAGCGGGCGAAAACCGAAUUGGCUGAUAUCCGGAACGGCUGAUAACUGAGGGUCCACUGUAUAAUAAAUAGGGAACAAAUAAUCCAUCUUCCGGUCACUUCCACAGCCUGUUUGCUGGCAGGGAAGCAGGACAGGUCCUGCCUUCACUGAGGCACUGUUACCCUAGAGAUGAUAAGGUGGUAAGACACCCAAGUGGUUGAGCCAAAUUUGAGGAGUGAAUUGAAGAUGUGAAAAAUAUGCAUAUUAGUGCAUCACUCAAGGUUUAAGGGUUAAACCAUGAUUAGGUUUCUGAUCAUCUUUGCAUUGUUGUUGGACAUGAGAAACUGCAAUUGCAGUCCUCUGUCUGGCAGUCCUCUGUGAGGACUGCCAGGCAGCUCUCACAGUUUACAAUACAUUAAUAGACUGCCCUUUAUAAGAGCAAGCAGAAUUCACUUUUCACGUUUUCAACACCUUGAUCCACUACUAUAAACUGCUUUCCUUGCUGAGAGCUCCAUCUUUAACACAGACUUCUUCAACCUCUUUAUAGCAGAAACUAACUUAUUACACCAACUAUGACAUUCUUCUUUCAUCCCUCACUCACCCUCGCCUUUAUUCAUCCUCACCCUUAUAAUCUGCAUUGCAUCUCUUCUCACUUUACUUCAUUAUUAAGUUAUGUUUGCUAUAGUAUGUGAAAUUGUGAAUUUCAACUAAAAGUUUUUUUUCCUUUCUCUAGAAAGUAGAAUUUUUCUACUCUUUCAGCUGCUUCAGUGAGUGCUUGAACAUCUACAUCAGUGUUCAUAUAAAUGUUAAAACUUUGUUCUGUGUAGUGGUAGUAGCAGAGGAUGAAAUUACAAUUGGUGAUGAUUACUCUGCAUCCUUGAGUAUUUGCCAGUAAAUUUUAAUGCUUUUAUUUCCAUGAAACACAUGUAUAUUUGUAAAAAGAUAUUUUAGGACUUGUCAAGUACAAAUUUGAAUUAUUUUUAUUGUACAAAUAUUCAUCAUGUUAGCUAUUUUAAACUGUAAUGUUGACAUAAAUUUAUCAUUAAAUAAAUUUAUACCUAAGAUUUAUUAUAUUA
Non-coding RNA from Cherax quadricarinatus, 13096 nucleotides. NCBI's taxonomy places the organism in Eukaryota, Metazoa, Arthropoda, Malacostraca, Decapoda, Parastacidae. The record is from RefSeq and is a predicted model, not a curated record.